This 469-nucleotide ribosomal RNA is filed under the name uncultured bacterium. Its description in RNAcentral is "bacterial SSU rRNA". It matches the Rfam family "Bacterial small subunit ribosomal RNA", at positions 30 to 507 of the family's 1533-position model. The record is from RNAcentral.
AUUGAACGCUGGCGGCAGGCCUAACACAUGCAAGUCGAACGGUAACAGGAAGAAGCUUGCUUCUUUGCUGACGAGUGGCGGACGGGUGAGUAACGCGUGGGUAACCUGCCUUGUACAGGGGGAUAACAGUUGGAAACGACUGCUAAUACCGCAUAAGCGCACAGUACCGCAUGGUACGGUGUGAAAAACUCCGGUGGUACAAGAUGGACCCGCGUCUGAUUAGCUUGUUGGUGAGGUAACGGCCCACCAAGGCGACGAUCAGUAGCCGGCCUGAGAGGGUGAACGGCCACAUUGGGACUGAGACACGGCCCAAACUCCUACGGGAGGCAGCAGUGGGGAAUAUUGCACAAUGGGGGGAAACCCUGAUGCAGCGACGCCGCGUGAGUGAUGAAGUAUUUCGGUAUGUAAACUCCUGUUGUUGAGGAAGAUAAUGACGGUACUCAACAAGGAAGUGACGGCUAACUACGUG